CAGGUAGUUGGCGGGGUAACGGCCCACCAAGCCAACGAUCAGUAACUGGUGUGAGAGCACGACCAGUCACACGGGCACUGAGACACGGGCCCGACUCCUACGGGAGGCAGCAGUAAGGAAUAUUGGUCAAUGGACGCAAGUCUGAACCAGCCAUGCCGCGUGGAGGAUGAAGGCCCUCUGGGUUGUAAACUUCUUUUAUCUGGGAAGAAACCACUCUUUUCUAAGGGUGUUGACGGUACCAGUUGAAUAAGCACCGGCUAACUCCGUGCCAGCAGCCGCGGUAAUACGGAGGGUGCAAGCGUUAUCCGGAUUCACUGGGUUUAAAGGGUGCGUAGGUGGGCAGGUAAGUCAGUGGUGAAAUCUCCGGGCUUAACCCGGAAACUGCCGUUGAUACUAUCUGUCUUGAAUGUAGUGGAGGUGAGCGGAAUAUGUCAUGUAGCGGUGAAAUGCUUAGAUAUGACAUAGAACACCCAUUGCGAAGGCAGCUCGCUACACUAUUAUUGACACUGAGGCACGAAAGCGUGGGGAUCAAACAGGAUUAGAUACCCUGGUAGUCCACGCCCUAAACGAUGGAUACUCGACAUCAGCGAUACACAGUUGGUGUCUGAGCGAAAGCAUUAAGUAUCCCACCUGGGAAGUACGAUCGCAAGAUUGAAACUCAA
This 662-nucleotide ribosomal RNA is filed under the name uncultured Bacteroidota bacterium. Its description in RNAcentral is "SSU rRNA". It matches the Rfam family "Bacterial small subunit ribosomal RNA", at positions 242 to 904 of the family's 1533-position model. Lineage: Bacteria; Pseudomonadati; Bacteroidota. The record is from RNAcentral.